Molecule: transfer RNA, 75 nt
Filed under: Haloferula luteola
Lineage: Bacteria; Pseudomonadati; Verrucomicrobiota; Verrucomicrobiia; Verrucomicrobiales; Verrucomicrobiaceae
Description: tRNA-Asn
Rfam family: tRNA
About the family: Transfer RNA (tRNA) molecules are approximately 80 nucleotides in length. Their secondary structure includes four short double-helical elements and three loops (D, anti-codon, and T loops). Further hydrogen bonds mediate the characteristic L-shaped molecular structure. tRNAs have two regions of fundamental functional importance: the anti-codon, which is responsible for specific mRNA codon recognition, and the 3' end, to which the tRNAs corresponding amino acid is attached (by aminoacyl-tRNA synthetases). tRNAs cope with the degeneracy of the genetic code in two manners: having more than one tRNA (with a specific anti-codon) for a particular amino acid; and 'wobble' base-pairing, i.e. permitting non-standard base-pairing at the 3rd anti-codon position.
Source: RNAcentral
UCCGGUGUAGCUCAGGGGUAGAGCGGGUGGCUGUUAACCACUAGGUCGUAGGUUCGAUCCCUACCGCCGGAGCCA